AUUGAACGCUGGCGGCAGGCCUAACACAUGCAAGUCGAGCGGAUGAAGGGAGCUUGCUCUCGGAUUCAGUGGCGGACGGGUGAGUAAUGCCUAGGAAUCUGCCUGGUAGUGGGGGAUAACGUCCGGAAACGGGCGCUAAUACCGCAUACGUCCUGAGGGUGAAAGUGGGGGAUCUUCGGACCUCACGCUAUCAGAUGAGCCUAGGUCGGAUUAGCUAGUUGGUGGGGUAAAGGCCUACCAAGGCGACGAUCCGUAACUGGUCUGAGAGGAUGAUCAGUCACACUGGAACUGAGACACGGUCCAGACUCCUACGGGAGGCAGCAGUGGGGAAUAUUGGACAAUGGGCGAAAGCCUGAUCCAGCCAUGCCGCGUGUGUGAAGAAGGUCUUCGGAUUGUAAAGCACUUUAAGUUGGGAGGAAGAGCAGUAAGUUAAUACCUUGCUGUUUUGACGUUACCAACAGAAUAAGCACCGGCUAACUUCGUG
Molecule: ribosomal RNA, 484 nt
Filed under: uncultured bacterium
Lineage: Bacteria
Description: partial 16S ribosomal RNA
Rfam family: Bacterial small subunit ribosomal RNA
Source: RNAcentral